RNAcentral lists this small nucleolar RNA (48 nucleotides) under Pyrobaculum calidifontis JCM 11548. Its description in RNAcentral is "PCAsR101". The record is from RNAcentral. Lineage: Archaea; Thermoproteati; Thermoproteota; Thermoprotei; Thermoproteales; Thermoproteaceae.
GUGGGGAGGAGACCCGGGCUGACGUGUGAAGAGGGUGUCCUGCACCGA